AGUCCACAGUCAUCCAUAAUAGCUCUAUACAAACCAAUGUUUAGAAAUGUAUAUAUCGGGACAAGCCCCCGAUAAUAGCAAAACCAAGUCAAAAUGAGAUAGUCUAAGUUCAGGAGACCAAGAAGGAAUGUCUUCUGAAGUAAGAAAGAUCACCACUCCCAAGUCAACGCACGAACCGCUCCAAUUACCUAAUCAUUGUGAAGAAAGAGAAUAUGAUGCUCCGAGCCCUAUGUUGCUUGGGGACAUAGCGUUUGAAGAAAGUUAGCAUUUGGAGCGCUAGUAUAUAACUUAAGGAUAAGAAUAAAACAGUAUUAUCAAUCAACCAUAAGUCAACAUAUCAUAUUCAACCAUAUUCAUGACCUUAUCCAUACAUAUAGGUAUAUCACAUGCUAACAAGUAAACAAGACAUAACAACAUUCUCAAAGCACUCGAUCAUGAGACAUGAAGUGGAGGAAUCCAACCUUCUACACUAAAAUUAAAUAAUUCUUAUUAGGUAUGGGACUUCAACUACAUUCACAUAUCACUUAGACGGAGGACUUAACCAUGUAUACACUUAUUAAGCAAGGGACUCUAAUCACAUACACACCCAUUCAAGAAAGGGACUCUAACUACAUACUCAUAUUCAUUUAGGCAAGGGACUAUGACAUGUAUAUUUAAAACAAAUUAAGAUGGGACCACACCUUAAAAAUUGAUUUACUUAAAAAAGAUAUGAAAUGGCAAGUAAAGGGAAAGGAAUAACGUGACGAGUACCACACAUUUCUUUACAAAUUCAGAUGCUCACACAAAAUGUAACAACAACACAGGACUUAGCAAAAUAAUUAAAUAAAUAAAUAAAUAAAUAAAAUGCUUGUGGAUCCAAGAAAGUGAGACAAAGGUGAACAUAAUUUCAAAGAGAUAAGUAUGCACCUUUUAGUCGAGCAGCAAAUGCGAGGCUUUAAUGUUAGGGAUUUUCCAGGUGCGAGAAUCAAAAUUUAAGAAUUCAAACGUGAAUUGAACAAUCAGAAGAAGGAAUCAAUGACUCCCGCAGCUUCAUUGGUGGAUUUCAAAAAAGACUCAAAACCAAUUUUUUUUAUCUUCUCUCAAUUUUUUUUUGUUUUCAUUCUUCUUCAACCUCUUUGUUCUAAAUUUGUUUUCUCUCUAUUUAUCACUUUGUUUCCCUUUUCCAGCCCCUUUUUUUUGCUUUUCAAAACCUGUCCCUGAUGGGGAUGGCAACACCCAUAUUUGUAUAGGUGCAAAUCCUGACUUGAAAGUCCGAAUUUGAAACCUCAGAAUUGAAAAAAUGGGAAGAAAGGGUAGAAAUUUUAAAUUCUGAGAUGAAUCCUUCCAAAUCUCAUCUUUUUAG
This 1342-nucleotide long non-coding RNA is filed under the name Capsicum annuum. RNAcentral describes it as "long non-coding RNA (CANN_LNC004784)". Lineage: Eukaryota; Viridiplantae; Streptophyta; Magnoliopsida; Solanales; Solanaceae. The record is from RNAcentral.